RNAcentral lists this non-coding RNA (29 nucleotides) under Mus musculus (house mouse). Lineage: Eukaryota; Metazoa; Chordata; Mammalia; Rodentia; Muridae. The record is from RNAcentral.
UUCUUAAGAGUUAGACUCCAAGUGUGGUC